Molecule: ribosomal RNA, 459 nt
Filed under: uncultured bacterium
Lineage: Bacteria
Description: partial 16S ribosomal RNA
Rfam family: Bacterial small subunit ribosomal RNA
Source: RNAcentral
CCUACGGGAGGCAGCAGUGAGGAAUAUUGGUCAAUGGUCGGGAGACUGAACCAGCCAAGCCGCGUGAGGGAUGAAGGUACAGAGUAUCGUAAACCUCUUUUGUCAGGGAACAAAGGCGGGGACGUGUCCCCGGAUGAGUGUACCUGAAGUAAAAGCAUCGGCUAACUCCGUGCCAGCAGCCGCGGUAAUACGGAGGAGGCGAGCGUUAUCCGGAUUUAUUGGGUUUAAAGGGUGCGCAGGCGGUCUGUUAAGUCAGCGGUCAAAGCCCGGGGCUCAACCCCGGCCCGCCGUUGAAACUGGCAGUCUAGAGUUGGAGAGAAGUAUGCGGAAUGCGCGGUGUAGCGGUGAAAUGCAUAGAUAUCGCGCAGAACUCCGAUUGCGAAGGCAGCAUGCCGGCUCCACACUGACGCUGAGGCACGAAAGCGUGGGUAUCGAACAGGAUUAGAUACCCUAGUAGUC